This 468-nucleotide ribosomal RNA is filed under the name uncultured bacterium. Its description in RNAcentral is "partial 16S ribosomal RNA". It matches the Rfam family "Bacterial small subunit ribosomal RNA", at positions 28 to 507 of the family's 1533-position model. The record is from RNAcentral.
GACGAACGCUGGCGGCGUGCUUAACACAUGCAAGUCGAACGGAAAGGCCCUGCUUUUGUGGGGUGCUCGAGUGGCGAACGGGUGAGUAACACGUGAGUAACCUGCCCUUGACUUUGGGAUAACUUCAGGAAACUGGGGCUAAUACCGGAUAGGAGCUCCUGCUGCAUGGUGGGGGUUGGAAAGUUUCGGCGGUUGGGGAUGGACUCGCGGCUUAUCAGCUUGUUGGUGGGGUAGUGGCUUACCAAGGCUUUGACGGGUAGCCGGCCUGAGAGGGUGACCGGCCACAUUGGGACUGCGAUACGGCCCAGACUCCUACGGGAGGCAGCAGUGGGGAAUAUUGCACAAUGGGCGGAAGCCUGAUACAGCAACGCCGCGUGCGGGAUGACGGCCUUCGGGUUGUAAACCGCUUUCGACUGUGACGAAGCGUGAGUGACGGUAAUGGGUAAAGAAGCACCGGCUAACUACGUG